Non-coding RNA from Vicia faba (fava bean), 369 nucleotides. The record is from the annotation of a GenBank genome assembly. NCBI's taxonomy places the organism in Eukaryota, Viridiplantae, Streptophyta, Magnoliopsida, Fabales, Fabaceae.
UGCAUUUUUUUACCAUUUUCUAAACAUGGCAUUAUCUCCCUUCUAUAUAAAAUUUCAAUUCAAUUUCAUAAUCACUUUUGGCCAUUUCUCAUAAAACUCACUCAAAAUUCAAAUUCUAUCUCAAAAGUUUUCUCCUCUCACAAAAGCAAAAGUCACAAAUUCAUUCCUUCCUCCCUCAAAGGAUUUCAGGUCAACCCCCCACCGCCGGCUACCACCCUCUACCAGACCUGCCUCCAUCUCGGUCGACCUCUGACGAGCGCCAAUCUCCCCGUGCUUCCGACUAAUUCACCCUCGCUACACCUGAAUCCCUCCUCUUCCUCCUCCCAUUGCACCUCCCUCAGUCGCUUGGACAUACUCCUUCCGUCUUGA